Long non-coding RNA from Equus caballus (horse), 1179 nucleotides. RefSeq lists it as uncharacterized. NCBI's taxonomy places the organism in Eukaryota, Metazoa, Chordata, Mammalia, Perissodactyla, Equidae. The record is from RefSeq and is a predicted model, not a curated record.
GCGGAGGCCGGCGCCGCCGGUGGGAGGGGAGAGCCUUAAAGGGGCCUCGCCUGCGUGCCGCCGCCGCCUUGGCCUUUACCACUAGCUGUACCCCUUCCAUCCCCCACUGGGCCGCCCGUGCCCUGGGGUCCCACAGAGGACGAGACUUCCCCGGGACCCUGGGCUCUGCGCCCUAUCCUCUGCCGGCUUUCCUUUCGCUCUCUCCUCUCCCUUCGCACCGCCGUGGGGUGGUGCUGGCGGGGGCAGUCACCCGCCGGCCGUGUGCGUCUGGGGUGGGGUGGAUUGGGGUGGGGUAGCGGGGUAGGAGCGCACGGCUCCGGCUCUGGUACUGCGGAGUCCAAGCCGCUCCCAGAGGCCGCCUGGGGGCGGGCCGCACCUCCAGAGCCCCAGGCUUGCUCCGGCUCUGCUCCGGUCCAGCUCUCUUCCCCUAAUUGGCUUCUCCUGGGUGUGCUCACUUGGGAGCGUCCGAGCCUCGGAGGCAUCCACCGUUCUCCGAACCGCUCCAACAACUUAGAGCCAGUCCUGUCCGAAGCCUGCAAGUUUGAGGACUGCCUUUCGGGGUUUGUUACCGUAUCCUGUUUAGAGGCGUAAAAUUCCUUCACUGCACCGCGCUUAGUUGCUGUUUUGGGGCGACACAGGAUCACUGGAGAGGCCAGUAUCCCAGAGGAGGAGAAGAUCUCUAAGUGCUGAGCUCCCUCUCGCGCCUUUGGGAUAAAGUGUGCGUUGCCAGAUUCGCACUUGGCAGAGGUUUUACAUAGUCAUAGUCCUGACAUUGAAGUUCCCAGUCCGCGAUCGUCAGAAGGUGAAGCUGGUCCUUUGUGCGUCGGCCUCUGGGGAGACCACUUCUCCGUGCUCUCGGCGGCCAGUGGAGGCGCGCUGGUGUCACUGCCUCGCUUCGAGUACCACUUUCCCAGCCCCAAUCCAUCACUCGGAUUGUCAGGCCUGUCUCUCGGGGCAGGUUGCUCCAGGACUACUCGUCCCUGACUCUGCGGCGCCUUGAGACAGCAUGAGAACCCAAGAUGGGGAUAGAUGAUUUCGAAGGGGUUCUUCAAACAGAAAGGAAUAGCUACCACAGAAAUAACAAAUAGCGGUCACGCACCUUUAUCAUGCUCAGUAAAGACAGCAUGCACCACUCCCGGGCCAUAUCAAUCAUACAUUAAACUCAAUUUACUCCCUGGA